RNAcentral lists this transfer RNA (76 nucleotides) under Candidatus Beckwithbacteria bacterium CG10_big_fil_rev_8_21_14_0_10_34_10. Its description in RNAcentral is "tRNA-Arg". It matches the Rfam family "tRNA". Rfam says of the family: Transfer RNA (tRNA) molecules are approximately 80 nucleotides in length. Lineage: Bacteria; Candidatus Beckwithiibacteriota. The record is from RNAcentral.
GCGCUUGUAGCUCAGUGGAUAGAGCGUCUCUUUGCGGAAGAGAAGGCCAGAGGUUCAAAUCCUCUCAGGCGCACCU